Molecule: ribosomal RNA, 438 nt
Filed under: uncultured soil bacterium
Lineage: Bacteria
Description: bacterial SSU rRNA
Rfam family: Bacterial small subunit ribosomal RNA
Source: RNAcentral
AGAUUGAACGCUGGCGGCAUGCUUUACACAUGCAAGUCGAACGGUAACAGGCCGCAAGGUGCUGACGAGUGGCGAACGGGUGAGUAAUGCAUCGGAACGUGCCCAGUCGUGGGGGAUAACGCAGCGAAAGCUGUGCUAAUACCGCAUACGAUCUAUGGAUGAAAGCGGGGGACCGAAAGGCCUCGCGCGAUUGGAGCGGCCGAUGUCAGAUUAGCUAGUUGGUGGGGUAAAGGCCCACCAAGGCGACGAUCUGUAGCUGGUCUGGAGAGGACGACCAGCCACACUGGAACUGAGACACGGUCCAGACUCCUACGGGAGGCAGCAGUGGGAAUUUUGGACAAUGGGCGCAAGCCUGAUCCAGCAAUGCCGCGUGCAGGAAGAAGGCCUUGGUUGUAAACUGUCGUUUGUAACGGAACGAAACGGUCUAGUACUUAAUAC